This is a small nuclear RNA of Ailuropoda melanoleuca (giant panda), 100 nucleotides long. NCBI's taxonomy places the organism in Eukaryota, Metazoa, Chordata, Mammalia, Carnivora, Ursidae. The record is from Ensembl.
UUUACCUUAAAAGAGAAAGUUAACCCAAUUGGAACGGUACAGAGAAGCAUGGCCCUUACACAAAGAUGACACGCAAAUUCAUGAAGCGUUCCGUAUUUUU